AGUGAACGCUGGCGGUAGGCCUAACACAUGCAAGUCGAACGGCCGCACAGUAAGAGCUUGCUCUUACGGGUGGCGAGUGGCGGACGGGUGAGGAAUACAUCGGAAUCUACUUUUUCGUGGGGGAUAACGUAGGGAAACUUACGCUAAUACCGCAUACGACCUACGGGUGAAAGCAGGGGAUCUUCGGACCUUGCGCGUUUGAUUGAGCCGAUGUCGGAUUAGCUAGUUGGCGGGGUAAAGGCUCACCAAGGCGACGAUCCGUAGCUGGUCUGAGAGGAUGAUCAGCCACACUGGAACUGAGACACGGUCCAGACUCCUACGGGAGGCAGCAGUGGGGAAUAUUGGACAAUGGGCGCAAGCCUGAUCCAGCAAUACCGCGUGGGUGAAGAAGGCCUUCGGGUUGUAAAGCCCUUUUGUUGGGAAAGAAAAGCAGCAGGUUAAUACCCCGAUGUUCUGACGGUACCCAAAGAAUAAGCACCGGCUAACUUCGUG
Molecule: ribosomal RNA, 492 nt
Filed under: uncultured bacterium
Lineage: Bacteria
Description: partial 16S ribosomal RNA
Rfam family: Bacterial small subunit ribosomal RNA
Source: RNAcentral